AUAAUCAGCUUCUAGGGUUCCGAUUUAAGUUUUUAGCCAAGGUGAGAAACUUAAAUGCCAGGUCCGAGAGAAGCAGCCAGCUAACAGAAUUUCUUUGUGAUGGUGGUUACACGGCGGGAAAAAAGCCCGGGAGAA
RNAcentral lists this small RNA (135 nucleotides) under Aliterella atlantica CENA595. RNAcentral describes it as "Guanidine-I riboswitch aptamer". It matches the Rfam family "Guanidine-I riboswitch aptamer". Rfam says of the family: This family represents a conserved RNA structure found upstream of the ykkC and yxkD genes in Bacillus subtilis and related genes in other bacteria. The function of this family is unclear although it has been suggested that it may function to switch on efflux pumps and detoxification systems in response to harmful environmental molecules. Lineage: Bacteria; Bacillati; Cyanobacteriota; Cyanophyceae; Chroococcidiopsidales; Aliterellaceae. RNAcentral also lists the same sequence under 1 other name. The record is from Rfam by way of RNAcentral.